UACGUAGGGUGCGAGCGUUGUCCGGAAUUAUUGGGCGUAAAGAGCUCGUAGGCGGUUCGUCGCGUCGGCUGUGAAAACCCGGAGCUCAACUCCGGGCCUGCAGUCGAUACGGGCGGACUCGAGUUCGGCAGGGGAGACUGGAAUUCCUGGUGUAGCGGUGAAAUGCGCAGAUAUCAGGAGGAACACCGGUGGCGAAGGCGGGUCUCUGGGCUGAUACUGACGCUGAGGAGCGAAAGCGUGGGGAGCGAACAGG
Molecule: ribosomal RNA, 253 nt
Filed under: uncultured bacterium
Lineage: Bacteria
Description: partial 16S ribosomal RNA
Rfam family: Bacterial small subunit ribosomal RNA
Source: RNAcentral